RNAcentral lists this ribosomal RNA (253 nucleotides) under uncultured bacterium. RNAcentral's name for it is "partial 16S ribosomal RNA". It matches the Rfam family "Bacterial small subunit ribosomal RNA", at positions 524 to 776 of the family's 1533-position model. The record is from RNAcentral.
GACAGAGGUGCCGAGCGUUAGGCGGAAUCACUGGGCUUAAAGCGUGUGUAGGCGGGUCGUUAAGUGCCUUGUGAAAUCCCACAGCUCACCUGUGGAACUGCUUGGCAUACUGGCGAUCUUGAGCCACUUAGGGGCAACCGGAACAAACGGUGGAGCGGUGAAAUGCGUAGAUAUCGUUUGGAACGCCAAUGGUGAAAACAGGUUGCUGGGAGUGCGCUGACGCUGAGACGCGAAAGCGUGGGGAGCGAACAGG